Molecule: ribosomal RNA, 478 nt
Filed under: uncultured bacterium
Lineage: Bacteria
Description: partial 16S ribosomal RNA
Rfam family: Bacterial small subunit ribosomal RNA
Source: RNAcentral
GAUGAACGCUGGCGGCGUGCUUAACACAUGCAAGUCGAACGAGAAGUGAAGACGGAACCCUUCGGGCGGAAGGCUUUAUUUCGAGUGGCGGACGGGUGAGUAACGCGUGGGUAACCUGCCUCAUACAGGGGGAUAACAGUUGGAAACGACUGUUAAUACCGCAUAAGACCACAGCACCGCAUGGUGCGGGGGUGAAAACUCCGGUGGUAUGAGAUGGACCCGCGUUCGAUUAGCCAGUUGGCGGGGUAACGGCCCACCAAAGCGACGAUCGAUAGCCGAUCUGAGAGGAUGGCCGGCCACAUGGGGACUGGGACGCGGCCCGAACUCCUACGGGAUGCAGCAGAGGGGAAUAUUGCACAAUGGGGGGAACCCUGAUGCAGCGACGCCGCGUGAGUGAAGAAGUAUUUCGGUAUGUAAAGCGCUAUCAGCAGGGAAGAAAAUGACGGUACCUGAGUAAGAAGCCCCGGCUAACUACGUG